Molecule: long non-coding RNA, 331 nt
Filed under: Mytilus galloprovincialis (Mediterranean mussel)
Lineage: Eukaryota; Metazoa; Mollusca; Bivalvia; Mytilida; Mytilidae
Source: RNAcentral
UGUGUGUUCGUUCGUCUGUCCGGCUUCAAGUUAAAGUUUUCGGUCGAGGAAGUUUUUGAUAACGUUGAAGUCCAAUCAACUUGAAACUUAGUACACAUGUUCCCUAUGAUAUGAUCUUUCUAAUUCUAAUGCCAAAUUAGAGUGUAUACCCCUUUUUCACGGUUCAUUGAACAUAGAAAAUGAUAGUGUAGAUUGGGCAAUAUCCAUAAUGCGCCUCCAACUGAGGAACGUACACAUUUAUUCUUAGGUCCUUUACUUUCAAGAUCAACACAAAUGGUUAAACUCAGUCACUUGUUAAAAACUGAAACAUGUCGAAUAUCACUACACAGAG